Molecule: ribosomal RNA, 439 nt
Filed under: uncultured bacterium
Lineage: Bacteria
Description: partial 16S ribosomal RNA
Rfam family: Bacterial small subunit ribosomal RNA
Source: RNAcentral
CUACGGGUUGCUCCAGUGGGGAAUAUUGGGCAAUGGAGGAAACUCUGACCCAGCCAUGCCGCGUGAGUGAUGAAGGCUCUAGGGUUGUAAAGCUCUUUCGCCGAUGAAGAUAAUGACGGUAGUCGGAGAAGAAGCCCCGGCUAACUUCGUGCCAGCAGCCGCGGUAAUACGAAGCGGGCUAGCGUUGUUCGGAAUUACUGGGCGUAAAGCGCACGUAGGCUGUGCCGCAAGUCAGGGGUGAAAUCCCAGAGCUCAACUCUGGAACUGCCUCUGAAACUGCGGUGCUAGAAUCUCGGAGGGGGUAGCGGAAUUCCAAAUGUAGGGGUGAAAUCCGUAGAUAUUUGGAGGAACACCGGUGGCGAAGGCGGCUACCUGGACGAGAAUUGACGCUGAGGUGCGAAAGCGUGGGGAUCAAACAGGAUUAGAUACCCCUGUAGUC